AUUGAACGCUGGCGGCAGGCCUAACACAUGCCAGUCGAGCGGAUGAAGGGAGCUUGCUCCUGGAUUCAGCGGCGGACGGGUGAGUAAUGCCUAGGAAUCUGCCUGGUAGUGGGGGAUAACGUCCGGAAACGGGCGCUAAUACCGCAUACGUCCUGAGGGAGAAAGCGGGGGAUCUUCGGACCUCACGCUAUCAGAUGAGCCUAGGUCGGAUUAGCUAGUUGGUGGGGUAAAGGCCUACCAAGGCGACGAUCCGUAACUGGUCUGAGAGGAUGAUCAGUCACACUGGAACUGAGACACGGUCCAGACUCCUACGGGAGGCAGCAGUGGGGAAUAUUGGACAAUGGGCGAAAGCCUGAUCCAGCCAUGCCGCGUGUGUGAAGAAGGUCUUCGGAUUGUAAAGCACUUUAAGUUGGGAGGAAGGGCAGUAAGUUAAUACCUUGCUGUUUUGACGUUACCAACAGAAUAAGCACCGGCUAACUUCGUG
Molecule: ribosomal RNA, 484 nt
Filed under: uncultured bacterium
Lineage: Bacteria
Description: partial 16S ribosomal RNA
Rfam family: Bacterial small subunit ribosomal RNA
Source: RNAcentral